RNAcentral lists this ribosomal RNA (468 nucleotides) under uncultured bacterium. RNAcentral describes it as "partial 16S ribosomal RNA". It matches the Rfam family "Bacterial small subunit ribosomal RNA", at positions 28 to 507 of the family's 1533-position model. The record is from RNAcentral.
GACGAACGCUGGCGGCGUGCUUAACACAUGCAAGUCGAACGGAAAGGCCCUGCUUUUGUGGGGUGCUCGAGUGGCGAACGGGUGAGUAACACGUGAGUAACUUGCCCUUUACUUUGGGAUAACUUCAGGAAACUGGGGCUAAUACCGGAUAGGAGCUCCUGCUGCAUGGUGGGGGUUGGAACGUUUCGGCGGUUGGGGAUGGACUCGCGGGUUAUCAGCUUGUUGGUGGGGUAGUGGCUUACCAAGGCUUUGACGGGUAGCCGGCCUGAGAGGGUGACCGGCCACAUUGGGACUGAGAUACGGACCAGACUAAAACGGGAGGCAGCAGUGGGGAAUAUUGCACAAUGGGAGGAAGCCUGAUGCAGCAACGCGGCGUGCGGGAUGACGGCCUUCGGGUUGUAAACCGCUUUCGCCUGUGACGAAGCGUGAGUGACGGUAAUGGGUAAAGAAGCACCGGCUAACUACGUG